AAAUUCUAUUUAUUUUUUUUCUCCACACUUUCAUUAUUGCAGACCAGCUAAAAUGCUAAUUUGCCUGCCUGGAGUCUAAAAUGCCUUCUCUCUCUUCUUUCCCCCUUUUCUUCUCACAACGGAUGAGCAUCAAGCUGCCUUUACUUGCUGAGUAGCUCAGCAUAACUUAUUCUUCCUGAACCUGGUGGACUAAGCCACAAGGUUGGCACAGAGACUAGAAUGCUGAGUCCACGGUGGUCCUUCCUAGAAGAGCCCUGGAAAGGAGCAGCCUCCCUCAGAACAGGUGACUGUCUUCAUCUUUAUUGCAUCUUAUUAAAGAAAUGUACUGGGAUCAGGAUCCCAACAAAAAGGUUCCCGUGGCGGAAUAAAACAGCCUAAAGGUAAAACUUGUGAUGUAAAAGUCUGUUUUCUGUGACCUUGGUGAACCUAUGAACUGACCAAGAAAGGUGAUGGCUCCAGAGGGC
RNAcentral lists this long non-coding RNA (464 nucleotides) under Anser brachyrhynchus (Pink-footed goose). RNAcentral describes it as "lncRNA (ENSABRG00000011184.1)". Lineage: Eukaryota; Metazoa; Chordata; Aves; Anseriformes; Anatidae. The record is from RNAcentral.